AUAUAUAUGUAUGUAUAUAUAUAUAUAUAUAUAUAUAUAUAUAUAUAUAUAUAUAUAUAUAUAUAUAUAUAUAUAUAUAUAUAUAUAUAUAUACAUACAUAUAUAUAUAUAUACAUAUAUAUAUAUAGUAUGUACUCUGUUUAUAAAGUAAAAAUUAUUAAAUAGAUUUCAUGGUGUAAAGCUACUCUGUUUCUGUAAAUACGCUGUAAAAUGAGCUUGAAAGUAUAUAUCUGUUUUUGUGUUGUUUUGUGUUUAAUGUUAUAAUUUUUGUGCUGUGGGUUUCUGUGAGUUUUGGUUUGUGUUAUAGGUUACUGGGUUUUUGUGCAGUAUUUUUAGGCUCAUGCACUUUGUGUGAUAUGAGAGCCCGAAGUUGUCAGGUUUCAUCAUCUGAACGGAUUUAAAGGAGGAGGAAGCAUGGCAGUCAGAGAUGAUUCUUCACUGAUGAGUGGAAUGCAUUCAUCUCAGGCAGUGCACUAAUUGUUUGAUUAUACAGGGCUUCUCUUUAAUGAAGCUCCUCUUUGGCAUUUGGGAACAUGGAGCGCCAUCGAAUUACCCACGCGACACUCACGCUGGGAAAGUUGAUCACUCAUUAGCCGUGACUGAGAGUAUCUCCAAGGCUCUCCUGAAGAUGGACUCACUCCAGGGCUGUUUUUCCAAUUACAGAGUUCCCUCUGCAAUCAAGGUCAUCACAAUUAGCUUCUCCCAGUCAAAAGCACAGAAUAGUGGAUGCGACUGUGCCAGUGACCGCUGGAUUGUCUUUGCAGCCCACUCAAGUGGCUAUUUCAUGGCUGCAGGCAAAUGCAUUAGAAGAAACCUGAAGAUUAGCUGUGGGCGAACUGAAAAGACAUCUUGGAAAGAGAAAAGGCUUUCAAAAUCAAUAUUAGCUAGCAUCUAUUAUGCACUCAGCAGCGGGUUGUAGAGUUUUGUAUGGUGGCGCUGAUGGAAAAUGGAGGGUGCUGUGUGGACUCUGCAUUUCUCUAUUAUCACCAUUACAGAUAAACUCUAAAUGGAUGUACUCAGAACUAUAUAAAGAGGUGAGGGCACAAUCUUCUCUUCUAAUUUUCUGCAGCAUGAUUGAAACGUGCAUAUUACAAAAAAAUCAUAUAAAAAGCCUCUAUAUUAUUUUGCAACUGCAGACCGUGAAUGUUUAUCAAAGAGUGUAGUGUUUGCAUUGUCUUUGUCAUUCUCACCCAUAUAACCUAUUCCUUUGUCUCUCUGUGUGUGUAUUAAGUCCUUUGUGUAGUGUUUGCAUUUAUCUUUAUUCACAUAACUGUGUUGCGGAGAAAAUAAAAAAAAAUAAAAAAAUCACUGAUCCUCAUAUCCUUAUUUCCUGUAGCAUAUUUACCGAGUGUGUUUGGAGCAGAUGGUGAGGGACUAAAGCUCCAUGGUGGAGGGAAGGCGUCUAAUUGCUUUAAGUAAAUCGAUACGGGACUGCAGCUAGCAGCAAUCCCUCACUCUACAUCAGCCUCUCGCUGCAAUUACCACAUUGAUUGGCCACUGCUAAUUGAAGGCCUCGUUAUUUCAGCUUUAUGCAGUCAUGGUGACAGAGCUCAGACCCCAGCAAAAAUUCUUUGUU
Long non-coding RNA from Cyprinus carpio carpio, 1576 nucleotides. NCBI's taxonomy places the organism in Eukaryota, Metazoa, Chordata, Actinopteri, Cypriniformes, Cyprinidae. The record is from Ensembl.